Molecule: ribosomal RNA, 1507 nt
Filed under: Salmonella enterica subsp. enterica serovar Enteritidis
Lineage: Bacteria; Pseudomonadati; Pseudomonadota; Gammaproteobacteria; Enterobacterales; Enterobacteriaceae
Description: bacterial SSU rRNA
Rfam family: Bacterial small subunit ribosomal RNA
Source: RNAcentral
CAUGGCUCAGAUUGAACGCUGGCGGCAGGCCUAACACAUGCAAGUCGAACGGUAACAGGAAGCAGCUUGCUGCUUUGCUGACGAGUGGCGGACGGGUGAGUAAUGUCUGGGAAACUGCCUGAUGGAGGGGGAUAACUACUGGAAACGGUGGCUAAUACCGCAUAACGUCGCAAGACCAAAGAGGGGGACCUUCGGGCCUCUUGCCAUCAGAUGUGCCCAGAUGGGAUUAGCUUGUUGGUGAGGUAACGGCUCACCAAGGCGACGAUCCCUAGCUGGUCUGAGAGGAUGACCAGCCACACUGGAACUGAGACACGGUCCAGACUCCUACGGGAGGCAGCAGUGGGGAAUAUUGCACAAUGGGCGCAAGCCUGAUGCAGCCAUGCCGCGUGUAUGAAGAAGGCCUUCGGGUUGUAAAGUACUUUCAGCGGGGAGGAAGGUGUUGUGGUUAAUAACCGCAGCAAUUGACGUUACCCGCAGAAGAAGCACCGGCUAACUCCGUGCCAGCAGCCGCGGUAAUACGGAGGGUGCAAGCGUUAAUCGGAAUUACUGGGCGUAAAGCGCACGCAGGCGGUCUGUCAAGUCGGAUGUGAAAUCCCCGGGCUCAACCUGGGAACUGCAUUCGAAACUGGCAGGCUUGAGUCUUGUAGAGGGGGGUAGAAUUCCAGGUGUAGCGGUGAAAUGCGUAGAGAUCUGGAGGAAUACCGGUGGCGAAGGCGGCCCCCUGGACAAAGACUGACGCUCAGGUGCGAAAGCGUGGGGAGCAAACAGGAUUAGAUACCCUGGUAGUCCACGCCGUAAACGAUGUCUACUUGGAGGUUGUGCCCUUGAGGCGUGGCUUCCGGAGCUAACGCGUUAAGUAGACCGCCUGGGGAGUACGGCCGCAAGGUUAAAACUCAAAUGAAUUGACGGGGGCCCGCACAAGCGGUGGAGCAUGUGGUUUAAUUCGAUGCAACGCGAAGAACCUUACCUGGUCUUGACAUCCACAGAAGAAUCCAGAGAUGGAUUUGUGCCUUCGGGAACUGUGAGACAGGUGCUGCAUGGCUGUCGUCAGCUCGUGUUGUGAAAUGUUGGGUUAAGUCCCGCAACGAGCGCAACCCUUAUCCUUUGUUGCCAGCGGUUAGGCCGGGAACUCAAAGGAGACUGCCAGUGAUAAACUGGAGGAAGGUGGGGAUGACGUCAAGUCAUCAUGGCCCUUACGACCAGGGCUACACACGUGCUACAAUGGCGCAUACAAAGAGAAGCGACCUCGCGAGAGCAAGCGGACCUCAUAAAGUGCGUCGUAGUCCGGAUUGGAGUCUGCAACUCGACUCCAUGAAGUCGGAAUCGCUAGUAAUCGUGGAUCAGAAUGCCACGGUGAAUACGUUCCCGGGCCUUGUACACACCGCCCGUCACACCAUGGGAGUGGGUUGCAAAAGAAGUAGGUAGCUUAACCUUCGGGAGGGCGCUUACCACUUUGUGAUUCAUGACUGGGGUGAAGUCGUAACAAGGUAACCGUAGGGGAACCUGC